Molecule: ribosomal RNA, 270 nt
Filed under: uncultured bacterium
Lineage: Bacteria
Description: partial 16S ribosomal RNA
Rfam family: Bacterial small subunit ribosomal RNA
Source: RNAcentral
UACGAGGUGCAGUCGUAAGUCGAAUCACGGUGGCGGUAAAGCGCACGUAGGCGGCUUUGUAAGUCAGACGUGAAAGCCCACGGCUCAACCGUGGAAUUGCGUUUGAUACUGCAUAGCUUGAGUCCUGGAGAGGGAAGCGGAAUUCCGGGUGUAGGAGUGAAAUCCGUAGAGAUCCGGAGGAACACCGGUGGCGAAGGCGGCUUCCUGGACAGGUACUAACGCUGAGGUGCGAAAGCGUGGGGAGCAAACAGGAUUAGAUACCCCUGUAGU